This 502-nucleotide ribosomal RNA is filed under the name uncultured bacterium. RNAcentral describes it as "bacterial SSU rRNA". It matches the Rfam family "Bacterial small subunit ribosomal RNA", at positions 30 to 507 of the family's 1533-position model. The record is from RNAcentral.
UUGAACGCUGGCGGCAUGCCUAACACAUGCAAGUCGAACGGUAACGGACCGCUGUGAUCCCUUCGGGGUGAACUUGGUGCCGACGAGUGGCGGACGGGUGAGUAAUACUUAGGAAUCUGCCCAGUAGUGGGGGACAACACGGGGAAACUCGUGCUAAUACCGCAUACGCCUUACGAGGGAAAGUGGGGGAUCUUCGGACCUCACGCUAUUGGAUGAGCCUAAGUCGGAUUAGCUUGUUGGUGAGGUAAAGGCUCACCAAGGCGACAAUCCGUAGCUGGUCUGAGAGGACGAUCAGCCACACUGGAACUGAGACACGGUCCAGACUCCUACGGGAGGCAGCAGUGGGGAAUAUUGGACAAUGGGCGCAAGCCUGAUCCAGCAAUGCCGCGUGUGUGAAGAAGGCCUGCGGGUUGUAAAGCACUUUCAGUAGAGAAGAAAAGCUUACGGUUAAUACCUGUGAGUCUUGACGUAACCUACAGAAGAAGCACCGGCUAACUCCGUG